CCGCCGGAUAGUCCGGCGGACGUUCACUCCGGGACCCACGGAAGCCCCAGUUCGGCCUCGUCGCUCUCCGCACCCGAGCCCGGGCCCGCCAGGCGCCCCCGCACUCCCCGCCGGAAGGCCCCGGAGGCUCGGCCCCCGCGAGCAUGCGCGUCCCGGCCCACCGCACCGCCGUCCGCCCGCGCGCCCAGGGCGGCGUGUGCCUGCGUGCGUGCGUCCGUGCGUGCGUGCGUGCGUGCGUGGAAGGGGUGGGCGUGCCCCAGGCUCCCCGCUGUCCCCGCCCUGUGGCGGCGCAGCCCGGCUCGGAGCCGCUGUUCUCCGCCCCGCCAGCCUCGCGGCUCCGGCCGCCUUCCCAGCCCAGCGGUUCUCCGGGCGCGGCGCCGGCCCCCGCGAGCGAGUAGGGCCGCGGUCGGGGCCGGGGCCGGGGCCGGGGGGGUGGGCGGCGGCUGGUCCUCGUGGCCGCCCGAGGCCGGAGCCAGAAGACGCGGACGCGCCCGCGGCGGAGAGCCUGGGACCGCGGCGCCUGCAGCCCCGCCGCCGGGACACCGCGGCCGGUCCGGGCCCGAAGGCGGGCGGCGGGGGCGGCGGGGGCGGCGGGCGUCUUCGACCUCCUCUCGUCUCCCUCUUCCUCUCCUCUUCCUCCUUCUCUCCUCUUCUUCCUUUCCUCUUCCUCUGCUCUUCCUCUCCACUUCCUCUCCCUUAACUCUUCCUCUCUUCCUCAUCUCUUCCUUCUCCUCUCCUCUUCCUCUCCACUUCUGUCCUCUUCCUCUCCUCUUCCUUUCCUCUUCCCCUGCUCUUCCCCUCUUCGUCUUCCUCUCCUCUUCCUCCCUCUUCCUCUCCUCUGCUCUUCCUCUUCUUUUAUCUUCCUCUUCCUCUCCACUUCUGUCCUCUUCCUCUCCUCUCCCUCUUCUCUUCCCCUGCUCUCCCUCUUCCUCUCCUCUUCCUCAUCCCUUCUUCCUCCUUCUCCUCUCCUCUUCUUCCUUUCCUCUUCCUCUGCUCUUCCUCUCCUGUUAUCUUCCUCUUCCUCUCCACUUCCUCUCCUCUUCCUCUGCUCUUCCUCUCUUCCUUAUCUCUUCCUUCUCCUCUUCCUCUCCUCUUCCUCUUCCUUUCCUCUCCUUUCCUCUUCCUCUGCUCUUUCUCUCCUCUUCUUUUAUCUUCCUCUUCCUCUCCACUUCUGUCCUCUUCCUCUCUUCUCUCUUCCUCUCGUCUUCCUUUCCUCUUUUCCUCCUCUUUAUUCUCUCCUUUCUUUCUCUUCUCUUUCCUUCUUUCUUUUUCUUUUCUUUCCACUCUCUCUUCUUUCCUCUCCUUCCUUCUCUUUCUCUUCUUUCCUCUCUUUCCUUUUUCUCUUUUCUUUCCUCUUUCUUUUUCUUUCCCUCUUUCCCUCCUUCCUUCUUUCAUCUUUACUUCCUUUUAAGUGUUACUACUUCCGUGCAAGAUCCACACUCCAGGGACAGUUGGAAAGUGCUUUUGAAUUACGUUCCUCCGGUGGAAAAGACAGUUACAUCUGGGCCAUGGAAGCUACCGGGUCUCAAUCCAAUAAGCUCUUAA
RNAcentral lists this long non-coding RNA (1545 nucleotides) under Canis lupus familiaris (dog). RNAcentral's name for it is "lncRNA (ENSCAFG00845018340.1)". Lineage: Eukaryota; Metazoa; Chordata; Mammalia; Carnivora; Canidae. The record is from RNAcentral.